Molecule: ribosomal RNA, 301 nt
Filed under: uncultured bacterium
Lineage: Bacteria
Description: partial 16S ribosomal RNA
Rfam family: Bacterial small subunit ribosomal RNA
Source: RNAcentral
CAGUCGCCGCGGUAAUACGUAGGUGGCAAGCGUUGUCCGGAAUUAUUGGGCGUAAAGGGCUCGCAGGCGGUUUCUUAAGUCUGAUGUGAAAGCCCCCGGCUCAACCGGGGAGGGUCAUUGGGAACUGGGAAACUUGAGUGCAGAAGAGGAGAGUGGAAUUCCACGUGUAGCGGUGAAAUGCGUAGAGAUGUGGAGGAACACCAGUGGCGAAGGCGACUCUCUGGUCUGUAACUGACGCUGAGGAGCGAAAGCGUGGGGAGCGAACAGAAUUAGAUACCCCCGUAGUCCCUGUCUCUUAUAC